GGAGGAAUUUGAGGCCCAGCGAGUUAAGUAACGUGAACAAUUUCUUGCAACCAGCAAAGGGACAGAACUCCAAACUUCUUCUGGGGGGCUGAGUGGAGACCGAAGCUCCCGCCAGGACAGACAAUCAGCAAAGCUGCGCCGGAGAGCAGGAAAUGUUCCAGCCUCCAACGGGAAGUCUCGCCUCUUGGCUUCUGUUUUACCAUCCGGAAAAGCGGGGCUGGGACAAUUCUAGCCCCGAAAACACAUGAAACUGGAUCCUGAACAAGGGCCCUGAGUGUGAAACUAGAGCCGGGUGGGCAGGCUCUAGGCAAGCCGCCAGGGCGCCCGCCGCUCCUGGACGGCUGGAGGGAAGGUGCUGCGAGGCCCCGCCUCCUUCGAUUCAGCCUCAGUUCUCAGAGGAGGGGCCUCAGGGCCUUGGCCUCACUGAGCUUGUAGGCGUCGGAAGCUUGGAGGCCCUGCGCACGGAGUAGUGGCGGCAAGCGGCCCCCUCUGCGCGUUGACCGCAGGGAGGCGGCGGCCGGGCCGCACAGCCUGGGUGGAAAUGGAUGGACUGCGGAUCUCGCGCACCAGCUGAUCCUGAUCGUACAUGUCCGCUGGUGGGCAGCACGGAGCCGGGCGUUCCUGGCAGGUGGAGGUGGGGACCAGGGCACGGGGGAUGAAGAAUCCCAGGAGGGGCGGCCAUUGGAACAGGGAUUGGGUGCACCUAGGAAUGUCUCCCGAGUCGUGGGGUCGCGCGCUACUGAGCUCCCUUCUAUGCUGGGAUUUCACUGCCGUUUCUUAAGAUCUGUUCCAUAGUGGGCAUGACCCAGAAUCUGGCUGUUAGGAUCAUCUUGAGCAGAUCCAAAAUCCCGUUGGCUUCAGGUAGGGCCAGCUCCAGCUCACGGCUGUCCUGGGUGCUGCGAGGGGCCUGCCUGAUUUCCCUGCCUUCUCUCAUGGGACCAGAAUGUGCUUCUCUUGUGGGGACACAGGUGGAGAAAACACUAACAUCUGAGAAGUUCAGAUCCUGGACAAAUCCAAAAAAGCUGACUAAAGAAAGUUCAAUUUCUCCUCCACAGAUUAAAGCUGGAGGAGACUUAUAGCUUGGAGUCUUUUUCUUUGAAGUUUAGGACUGGUGUGUUUAAGGAAGCCAAGGCCAACUUUCCUGGAAUGUUAAUAAGAAGUGUGUGUCCAAGGUCAUGCACAGAAACCUUGCAAAGGGACUAGUGAAGAAGGCACAGAGGCAGUGUCUGUGCUCAGGACUGCCUGGGCCACAGAACAGAACCCAGACUUCACGGACGGUCCUUUUCUUCUCUUCCUCUGGCACCACAAAACUGGCAGCAUUUUGUUCUGUAGUGGGUUCUCUUCUCCAUAAAAAGGCACGGUUGCUGGCCAUGUCCUCCCUUCCCCUUCUGCCUACCUUGCCUUGAUUUAAAUCUUGAGUGACCAAAUCAGUGUAGCAAUUUGCAUGGCAAAAUAAAAUGUGUGCACUUGGGUGGUUUGUGAAUGUUUGUUGGGAGCAUUCCACAGCUGCUUGAAUAACUGAGGCUUUGGAUGUGUGAUGUUUGGGGCUGAUGCUUGUUUUGCAAUAUUUGAGGUGUCCUUGAGUGGUUCUGCCCUCCCUCUAUAAUCUGGGAUGGCUCCCCUCUCAGACUGUGCUUACUAUUUGUGGGUAUUUUUGGAGCAUCUCAGGGAUCCAUGGACCAGUCCUCUGCUCUUCUGUCCUGGGAUCACAUCAGAGCUCUGCUGCCCACUCCUGCCAACCUCCUCAGGAAAUGCCAGUGCCCAGGCCCUGUGGCUCACAAAGCCAGAGAUCUUGACAUGUUAACCCUGCAGCCACCCGGGGUUUGUCUCUUCAACAAUUGAGGCAGUAUCCCUCAGUGUCUUCUUCAGUGCCACACACAGCCCUGCAUGUUCCAUAUCUCAGAGAGUCCCUUGUAGAAAUAACUGAGGUACAUGUCCAGGCCUUAGCAAUGAGCUUCAGGACUGGGCUAGGAGGUGGUACUCUGAAGCAGAAGCCUGCAGCCCUCUCCAUCUCUGUCCCUGGAAGCACACACCAAACUCUGCCUAGUUCUCCUGAAGCCCCCAAGGAAACCCUCACAUACUCACCAGCUCCUGGGAACAAUGGCCUGUGUUUAUCACACAUGCUCCGAUGUGGCUCAGGCGUAUCUCUUGCUAAAGAAAAGAUCUCCCUACAUUAAUGUAUAUUUUGAUUACAAAAGAAUAUGUGUCGUGGCAGAAAUUUGGACUAUAGAAAAUAUGAAUAAAAUUUAAGUUGUCCACAGAUCUGUGGCCACGCACUGAAGAAGUUCUCAGACAGACGUGAGCGGACAUGCAGGGCUGCCUCUGGGAGACAGCAGCAGCCACAGCAGCCUGCACACAGCCUUUAUUUCCUAUCUCAUUAGAUAGAAGUAUCAAAGAAGAUCACAGCAUGGAAAGAGGGCACAGAGGAUCUUUAGACAUUAACCAGAUAUGCACCUGGUGGCUAUGUGAAGGCAGGCAGGGAGCACAUCUAGUUUCAAGGAGUGUCAGGGAGUUAUAGCAGGUUUUGUAUCUUAACUGUCCCCUGGGGGAUCAUGAGGCUCUGUAUCUCAUAAUGCUAUUGCCUUCAACAGCCUUUAGACCAGAACCUUGGUGACAGUUCAGCUAUCCCCAUUCACCCUCCAGGACAUAUAAUACAUUCUCUAGAAAUAACUCCACACAAAUCCACACCCAGCAAUCACUACUGUUGAUGGUGAGAUGUGUAUAUUUUUAUAUAUCCCCUUCCUUGGGGAAGGUCAUUGAAAAGGCAUGACUGCCAGUUGACCUGUGAGCUGGAUCCAGGCCCUCAGAGGCUCCACACACUCUCUCCCCUGUCCUGGGUAUGUGGGUUUCACUUACCUUUCCCACUUGCAGAGACUGCUCCAAGGACACGGUUUUGAGACUGAUGUGGCGUGGAAAAUAUCUGCAUGGUGUAUGUGACUGAACUCAGUUAAGGUCUCUUUAGAAACUUUUUAAGAUUUGGUGGGUGGGUGCUGGGAUCCAUUCAUCUUGCUGCCACCCAAUACAAGCCAAGCUUAAUAAAACUGUCACCUGUCUACCAACCUGGAGUGGCCUGCCUCUUUCUUCAGUCUCUCCCUGCCCUCCGAGCAUGUAGCUGGUUUCAUAUUCUUCCAAGGAAGUUCCUAGGAGGGUUUCCA
Molecule: long non-coding RNA, 3155 nt
Organism: Panthera uncia (snow leopard)
Lineage: Eukaryota; Metazoa; Chordata; Mammalia; Carnivora; Felidae
Exons: 3
Source: RefSeq, a predicted model, not a curated record